GAUGAACGCUGGCGGCGUGCCUAAUACAUGCAAGUCGAGCGAACAGACGAGGAGCUUGCUCCUCUGACGUUAGCGGCGGACGGGUGAGUAACACGUGGAUAACCUACCUAUAAGACUGAGAUAACUUCGGGAAACCGGGGCUAACACCGGAUAAUAUAUUGAACCGCAUGGUUCAUUAGUGAAAGACGGUUUUGCUGUCACUUAUAGAUGGUUCCGAGCCGCAUUAGCUAGUUGGUAAGGUAACGGCUUACCAAGGCGACGAUGCGUAGCCGACCUGAGAGGGUGAUCGGCCACACUGGAACUGAGACACGGUCCAUACUCCUACGGGAGGCAGCAGUAGGGAAUCUUCCGCAAUGGGCGAAAGCCUGACGGAGCAACGCCGCGUGAGUGAUGAAGGUCUUCGGAUCGUAAAACUCUGUUAUUAGGGAAGAACAAAUGUGUAAGUAACUAUGCACGUCUUGACGGUACCUAAUCAGAAAGCCACGGCUAACUACGUG
RNAcentral lists this ribosomal RNA (497 nucleotides) under uncultured bacterium. RNAcentral describes it as "partial 16S ribosomal RNA". It matches the Rfam family "Bacterial small subunit ribosomal RNA", at positions 28 to 507 of the family's 1533-position model. The record is from RNAcentral.